UGGCCGGGAUAGCUCAGCUGGUAGAGCAGAGGACUGAGAUCC
RNAcentral lists this transfer RNA (42 nucleotides) under Monophyllaea hirticalyx. RNAcentral describes it as "partial transfer RNA-Phe". The record is from RNAcentral. Lineage: Eukaryota; Viridiplantae; Streptophyta; Magnoliopsida; Lamiales; Gesneriaceae.